Molecule: ribosomal RNA, 253 nt
Filed under: uncultured bacterium
Lineage: Bacteria
Description: partial 16S ribosomal RNA
Rfam family: Bacterial small subunit ribosomal RNA
Source: RNAcentral
UACGAAGGGGGCUAGCGUUGCUCGGAAUCACUGGGCGUAAAGCGCACGUAGGCGGAUUGUUAAGUCAGGGGUGAAAUCCUGGGGCUCAACUCCAGAACUGCCUUUGAUACUGGCGAUCUUGAGUCCGGGAGAGGUGAGUGGAACUGCGAGUGUAGAGGUGAAAUUCGUAGAUAUUCGCAAGAACACCAGUGGCGAAGGCGGCUCACUGGCCCGGUACUGACGCUGAGGAGCGAAAGCGUGGGUAGCAAACAGG